UACCCGCUGAACUUAAGCAUAUCAAUAAGCGGAGGAAAAGAAACUAACAAGGAUUCCCCUAGUAACUGCGAGUGAAGCGGGAAAAGCUCAAAUUUAAAAUCUGGUGGUCAUUGGCCAUCCGAGUUGUAAUUUAGAGAAGCGUCUUCCGCGCUGGACCGUGCACAAGUCUCCUGGAAUGGAGCGUCGUAGAGGGUGAGAAUCCCGUCUUUGGCACGGACAUGCCAGUGCUUUUGUGAUGUGCUCUCGAAGAGUCGAGUUGUUUGGGAAUGCAGCUCAAAAUGGGUGGUGAACUCCAUCUAAAGCUAAAUAUUGGCGAGAGACCGAUAGCGAACAAGUACCGUGAGGGAAAGAUGAAAAGCACUUUGGAAAGAGAGUGAAACAGUACGUGAAAUUGUUGAAAGGGAAACGCUUGAAGUCAGUCGCGUCGACCGAGACUCAGCCUUGCCUUGGCUUGGUGUAUUUCUUGGCUUGACGGGCCAGCAUCAAUUUUGCCCCUUGGAUAAUGGCGAGGGAAAUGUGACACCUUUAUGGUGUGUUAUAGUCUUUCGUCGCAUGCAAGGGUCGGGAUUGAGGAACUCAGCACGCGCCUUUAGGUGUCGGGGUUUUGCCCACGAUACGUGCUUAGGAUGUUGGCAUAAUGGCUUUAAACGACCCGUCUUGAAACACGGACCAAGGAGUCUAACAUGCCCGCGAGUGUUCGGGUGGAAAACCCGUGCGCGUAAUGAAAGUGAAAGUUGGGACCUUCGUCGUGAGGGCACCGACGCCCGAACCAGACCUUCUGUGACGGCUCUGCGGUAGAGCGUGUAUGUUAGACCCGAAAGAUGGUGAACUAUGCUGAUAGGUGAAGCAGAGAAACUCUGGUGGAGCUCGUAGCGAUCUGACGUGCAAUCGAUCGUCAAUUUGGGUAUAGGGCGAAAGACUAAUCGACAUCUAGUAGCUGUUUCCUGCCGAGGUUCCCUCAGGAA
Molecule: ribosomal RNA, 965 nt
Filed under: Russula purpureoverrucosa
Lineage: Eukaryota; Fungi; Basidiomycota; Agaricomycetes; Russulales; Russulaceae
Description: partial large subunit ribosomal RNA
Rfam family: Eukaryotic large subunit ribosomal RNA
Source: RNAcentral